CCUACGGGAGGCAGCAGUGAGGAAUAUUGGUCAAUGGGCGCGAGCCUGAACCAGCCAAGCAGCGUGAAGGAUGAAUGCCCUACGGGCUGUAAACUUCUUUUAUAAGGGAAUAAAGUGAGGCACGUGUGCCUUUUUGUCUGUCCUUCAUGAAUAAGGAUCGGCUAAAUACGUGCCAGCAGCCGCGGUAAUACGGAGGAGCCGAGCGUUAACCGGAUUUAUUGGGUUGAAAGGGUGCGUAGAUGGGUCGUUAAGCUAGGUGUGAAUGUUUGCGGCGCAACCGUAAAAUUGCAAUUGAUACUGGCAGGCUUGAGUACAGGUGAGGUAGGCGGAAUUGGUGGUGUAGCGGUGAAAUGCGUAGAUAUCACGAAGAACUCCGAUGGCGAAGGCAGCCUACUAAACUGCCACUGACAUUGAUGCUCGAAAGUGUGGGGAUCAAACAGGAGUAGAUACCCUGGUAGUC
Molecule: ribosomal RNA, 460 nt
Filed under: uncultured bacterium
Lineage: Bacteria
Description: partial 16S ribosomal RNA
Rfam family: Bacterial small subunit ribosomal RNA
Source: RNAcentral